GACGAACGCUGGCGGCGUGCUUAACACAUGCAAGUCGAACGGAAAGGCCCUUCUUUUGUGGGGUGCUCGAGUGGCGAACGGGUGAUUAACACGUGAGUAACCUGCCCUUGACUUUGGGAUAACUUCAGGAAACUGGGGCUAAUACCGGAUAGGAGCUCCUGCUGCAUGGUGGGGGUUGGAAAGUUUCGGCGGUUGGGGAUGGACUCGCGGCUUAUCAGCUUGUUGGUGGGGUAGUGGCUUACCAAGGCUUUGACGGGUAGCCGGCCUGAGAGGGUGACCGGCCACAUUGGGAAUGAGAUACGGCCCAGACUCCUACGGGAGGCAGCAGUGGGGAAUAUUGCACAAUGGGCGGAAGCCUGAUGCAGCAACGCCGCGUGCGGGAUGACGGCCUUCGGGUUGUAAACCGCUUUCGCCUGUGACGAAGCGUGAGUGACGGUAAUGGGUAAAGAAGCACCGGCUAACUACGUG
This 468-nucleotide ribosomal RNA is filed under the name uncultured bacterium. Its description in RNAcentral is "partial 16S ribosomal RNA". It matches the Rfam family "Bacterial small subunit ribosomal RNA", at positions 28 to 507 of the family's 1533-position model. The record is from RNAcentral.